RNAcentral lists this ribosomal RNA (1554 nucleotides) under Staphylococcus aureus. Its description in RNAcentral is "16S ribosomal RNA". It matches the Rfam family "Bacterial small subunit ribosomal RNA". Lineage: Bacteria; Bacillati; Bacillota; Bacilli; Caryophanales; Staphylococcaceae. The record is from RNAcentral.
UUUAUGGAGAGUUUGAUCCUGGCUCAGGAUGAACGCUGGCGGCGUGCCUAAUACAUGCAAGUCGAGCGAACGGACGAGAAGCUUGCUUCUCUGAUGUUAGCGGCGGACGGGUGAGUAACACGUGGAUAACCUACCUAUAAGACUGGGAUAACUUCGGGAAACCGGAGCUAAUACCGGAUAAUAUUUUGAACCGCAUGGUUCAAAAGUGAAAGACGGUCUUGCUGUCACUUAUAGAUGGAUCCGCGCUGCAUUAGCUAGUUGGUAAGGUAACGGCUUACCAAGGCAACGAUGCAUAGCCGACCUGAGAGGGUGAUCGGCCACACUGGAACUGAGACACGGUCCAGACUCCUACGGGAGGCAGCAGUAGGGAAUCUUCCGCAAUGGGCGAAAGCCUGACGGAGCAACGCCGCGUGAGUGAUGAAGGUCUUCGGAUCGUAAAACUCUGUUAUUAGGGAAGAACAUAUGUGUAAGUAACUGUGCACAUCUUGACGGUACCUAAUCAGAAAGCCAUGGCUAACUACGUGCCAGCAGCCGCGGUAAUACGUAGGUGGCAAGCGUUAUCCGGAAUUAUUGGGCGUAAAGCGCGCGUAGGCGGUUUUUUAAGUCUGAUGUGAAAGCCCACGGCUCAACCGUGGAGGGUCAUUGGAAACUGGAAAACUUGAGUGCAGAAGAGGAAAGUGGAAUUCCAUGUGUAGCGGUGAAAUGCGCAGAGAUAUGGAGGAACACCAGUGGCGAAGGCGACUUUCUGGUCUGUAACUGACGCUGAUGUGCGAAAGCGUGGGGAUCAAACAGGAUUAGAUACCCUGGUAGUCCACGCCGUAAACGAUGAGUGCUAAGUGUUAGGGGGUUUCCGCCCCUUAGUGCUGCAGCUAACGCAUUAAGCACUCCGCCUGGGGAGUACGACCGCAAGGUUGAAACUCAAAGGAAUUGACGGGGACCCGCACAAGCGGUGGAGCAUGUGGUUUAAUUCGAAGCAACGCGAAGAACCUUACCAAAUCUUGACAUCCUUUGACAACUCUAGAGAUAGAGCCUUCCCCUUCGGGGGACAAAGUGACAGGUGGUGCAUGGUUGUCGUCAGCUCGUGUCGUGAGAUGUUGGGUUAAGUCCCGCAACGAGCGCAACCCUUAAGCUUAGUUGCCAUCAUUAAGUUGGGCACUCUAAGUUGACUGCCGGUGACAAACCGGAGGAAGGUGGGGAUGACGUCAAAUCAUCAUGCCCCUUAUGAUUUGGGCUACACACGUGCUACAAUGGACAAUACAAAGGGCAGCGAAACCGCGAGGUCAAGCAAAUCCCAUAAAGUUGUUCUCAGUUCGGAUUGUAGUCUGCAACUCGACUACAUGAAGCUGGAAUCGCUAGUAAUCGUAGAUCAGCAUGCUACGGUGAAUACGUUCCCGGGUCUUGUACACACCGCCCGUCACACCACGAGAGUUUGUAACACCCGAAGCCGGUGGAGUAACCUUUUAGGAGCUAGCCGUCGAAGGUGGGACAAAUGAUUGGGGUGAAGUCGUAACAAGGUAGCCGUAUCGGAAGGUGCGGCUGGAUCACCUCCUUUCU